Molecule: long non-coding RNA, 271 nt
Filed under: Lathyrus oleraceus (garden pea)
Lineage: Eukaryota; Viridiplantae; Streptophyta; Magnoliopsida; Fabales; Fabaceae
Description: Pisum sativum (pea) long non-coding RNA (PSAT_LNC002633)
Source: RNAcentral
AUGGGUCCAAACGUGGGGUUGAUUUAGCUAGCGUGCGAAUGAUACAACGAGAAUAAAAGAUUAGAAAAUAUCUAGGAGUUAGUUUACGCAACCUUACUGUAGUAUGCUUUCGGAAUAAACCAUGCUUCAAUUAGGUCUUUUAAGGAUUGUAACGUGGCUUGGUUCAUGGUUAUUGAAACAAAAGGAUAUAAGGCUCAAAGUUUAUUUUAACCCACCCUUUCUUCAUGAUGAUCUCCAAUCCUAUGUUCAAUUAACUCAACCCACACUUUAC